RNAcentral lists this microRNA precursor (227 nucleotides) under Sorghum bicolor (sorghum). RNAcentral describes it as "MIR6217 microRNA precursor family". It matches the Rfam family "MIR6217 microRNA precursor family". The record is from Rfam by way of RNAcentral. Lineage: Eukaryota; Viridiplantae; Streptophyta; Magnoliopsida; Poales; Poaceae.
CACUACAAAAUAACUUAUUUUGUAACUACUUUGAGUUACGAUAAUUACUAUGUUAAUUUACGAUAUUAUAGUAACUCCAUACUAAGUGGUUUACUAUAAUGUUAUAGUAAAUAUUUUAAUAUGUUAUAGUAAUCCAACUAUCGUAAAUAUGUAUUAAUAUUAUCGUAAAUUAGUAUAUAAAAUUAUCAUAAAUAGAGGUGGCUACAGAAUAACUUAUUUUGUAGCUG